This 611-nucleotide ribosomal RNA is filed under the name Paroster couragei. RNAcentral's name for it is "partial 16S ribosomal RNA". The stretch from base 369 to 527 matches the Rfam family "Bacterial large subunit ribosomal RNA", at positions 2473 to 2632 of the family's 2925-position model. The record is from RNAcentral. Lineage: Eukaryota; Metazoa; Arthropoda; Insecta; Coleoptera; Dytiscidae.
AAUUUGAGGUCUGACCUGCCCACUGAAUUAUUAAAUGGCCGCAGUAAUUUGACUGUGCAAAGGUAGCAUAAUCAUUAGUUUUUUAAUUAAAAGCUUGUAUGAAUGGUUGGACGAAAUAAAUACUGUCUUUAAAUAAUAAAUAGAAUUUAAUUUUUAAGUUAAAAAGCUUAAAUAUUUAUAAAAGACGAGAAGACCCUAUAGAUCUUUAUAUUAUUUUAUAUAUAUUUAAUUAAGAUCAUUUUAUUAUUUAUAUUUAAUAAUAUUUUAUUGGGGUAAUAAAAAGAUUAAAUUAAUUCUUUAUUAUUUUAAAUAUUAAUUAAUAGAUUUUUGAUCCUUUAUUAGAGAUUAUAAGAUUAAGUUACCUUAGGGAUAACAGCGUAAUUUUUUUAAAGAGUUCAUAUCGAUAAAAAAGUUUGCGACCUCGAUGUUGGAUUAAAAAUUAUUCUAGGUGUAGUAGUUUAGAAUUUUGGUCUGUUCGACCAUUAAAUUUUUACAUGAUCUGAGUUCAGACCGGUGUAAGCCAGGUCGGUUUCUAUCUUUAUUUAAUUAAUAUAUUUUAGUACGAAAGGACCAAAUAUAAAUUAUAUUUAUAAUUAAAUUUUUGAAUUAUA